This 93-nucleotide transfer RNA is filed under the name Candidatus Saccharimonadota bacterium. RNAcentral's name for it is "tRNA-Ser". It matches the Rfam family "tRNA". From Rfam's summary of the family: Transfer RNA (tRNA) molecules are approximately 80 nucleotides in length. Their secondary structure includes four short double-helical elements and three loops (D, anti-codon, and T loops). Lineage: Bacteria; Candidatus Saccharimonadota. The record is from RNAcentral.
GGAGGGGUACCCAAGUGGCUCAAGGGGACGGUUUGCUAAAUCGUUAGAUUGGAGAAAUCCGGUGCGAGGGUUCGAAUCCCUCCUCCUCCGCCA